Molecule: long non-coding RNA, 1266 nt
Organism: Myxocyprinus asiaticus (Chinese sucker)
Lineage: Eukaryota; Metazoa; Chordata; Actinopteri; Cypriniformes; Catostomidae
Exons: 3
Source: RefSeq, a predicted model, not a curated record
GUGCGUCUCUCUCUCUCUCUUGAACUGGCACCUCCGGCUCAUCUUUAUCCCCCUAAAAAUGUCUUUUUACCUUCCAAUGUAAAAUCUGGUUCCAGUUGAGAACCACUGGCUUAGAUGACACCUAAAAUCUCAGUGUUGUGACAUAGCCAUCUUCUGUAUCUACUUUAUUUAAUUAUCUGCUGUAGAUUCAACACUGCUUCAGUGUUAGUUUUUAACACCAGCGAGUGAGAACCAUAUAAACACCAGGAGUGUACAUUUAACACUGAGGAUUUUGCUGUGUAGAGAUGCCUUUUCAAGGUGGGUCACCUUUUAACAAUGUUGCAAAUUGGUCUGACUUUGUCAAAAAAUUAUGUAGCAUUGACCUUUAAACUUAAACGUAAUAUCUUUUAACAUAACACACACACACACACACAUAAUUAACUAGGCUAAAUUAUUAAAUUGCAAAAUGAUUUAUCUUUUUAAAAAAUAUACUUUGGAAGAUCAGUUGUAAAGCCCUUUCCCUGUCAACUUUAUGUUAUUUAUUGACAUUAUUUCAUUAUUAUUUUAAUUCCUAUUAUUCAUUUAUUUCUUUUAGCUUUUUUCCAUGUUCUUUUUUUCUUCUUUGGUGAUUUCAUCAUGGAGGUUGUUUGUUUCUUUAAUUAAUCCAUUAAAUGUAACUAAAUUUGGUAAUUAAUUAUUUAAUUCAUAUAAUCAAACAAGCUUAAAGUAGUUAAGGGAACUGUGGUUUUGAAGAAAAAACAAAAUCACCAUCUCUGCUCUGAGUUUCAAGACAUGCGCACUAGCUGCGACAUCUUGUGAUGACACUUGGCGGGCUUUUGGAGCUGCUAGAUUAACUGCCAGAACAGCAGAAGCUUGCUACCACAGUCACCUAUUUUGGACAGGCAGGGGGUCUGACUGUAAAAGAAACUGGAGAAUAAUGCCAAAACUAAUGACGAACCAACUGGCGAAGCAAAUUAACUGGCGUGGAGUGAAUGGGAAGAAUGGCUUUGAAUGGCACUUGCCACUUGCCAUUAAAGAUGUUGUCCUCAAAUCUGCAAAGAAAUGCAAGUACUGCUGGUGCAUCGGAUGCAAGUUCAUAAAAAGAUGGCUGCAGCUUGCAUCUGACAGAGAUGGGGGAAGAAGAGAGUGGGCCUGAGUUACCAUUCAGGUCUUCAGUCUGAGAUCUAUCUGACUAACUAACCAUAUGUGUCAUUGUCUGUGCCCCCUCUUAUCUCUCUCUUUCUGUCAAUUUGUCCCUCUUUUAGGGUACACUUACUUGAGGAAAGU